Molecule: microRNA, 24 nt
Filed under: Bombyx mori (domestic silkworm)
Lineage: Eukaryota; Metazoa; Arthropoda; Insecta; Lepidoptera; Bombycidae
Description: bmo-miR-3361
Source: miRBase by way of RNAcentral
UGACUAGUUUGCGUGUCAAACUCG